This 334-nucleotide unclassified non-coding RNA is filed under the name uncultured fungus. RNAcentral describes it as "sequence contains ITS2". The stretch from base 1 to 52 matches the Rfam family "5.8S ribosomal RNA", at positions 103 to 154 of the family's 154-position model. The record is from RNAcentral. Lineage: Eukaryota; Fungi.
AACGCACCUUGCGCUCCUUGGUAUUCCGAGGAGCAUGCCUGUUUGAGUGUCAUUAUAUACUCAACUCCCUUGAUUUUUUAAUUGAAAUCAUUCGAGUUGGAUUUGGAGGUAUCUGUGCUGGCUCUCGCGGGUCGGCUCCUCUUAAAUGCAUUAGCUGAGCUUUCACUUGAUGCAAUGGUGUAAUAAUUAUCUUCACCGAUGCAACUAGUGAUACAGGCUUGCUUCUAAUCGUCUCUUAACUGAGACAAUAUAAAAGAAAAAAACUCCUUUUGGGGGGUUUGAUCUUUUUGACUCUUUUGACCUCAAAUCAGGUAGGAUUACCCGCUGAACUUAA